RNAcentral lists this ribosomal RNA (527 nucleotides) under Bullera sp. ST12.14/494. Its description in RNAcentral is "eukaryotic LSU rRNA". It matches the Rfam family "Eukaryotic large subunit ribosomal RNA", at positions 58 to 591 of the family's 3401-position model. The record is from RNAcentral. Lineage: Eukaryota; Fungi; Basidiomycota; Tremellomycetes; Tremellales; Bulleraceae.
AAAGAAACUAACAAGGAUUCCCCUAGUAACGGCGAGCGAACAGGGAAGAGCUCAAAUUUGAAAUCUGGCGUCCUCCGGGCGUCCGAGUUGUAAUCUAUAGAGACGUUUUCCGUGCCGGACCGUGUCCAAGUUCCUUGGAACAGGAUAUCAAAGAGGGUGACAAUCCCGUACUUGACACGACGACCGGUGCUCUGUGAUACGUUUUCUACGAGUCGAGUUGUUUGGGAAUGCAGCUCAAAAUGGGUGGUGAGUUCCAUCUAAAGCUAAAUAUUGGCGAGAGACCGAUAGCGAACAAGUACCGUGAGGGAAAGAUGAAAAGCACUUUGGAAAGAGAGUUAAACAGUACGUGAAAUUGUUAAAAGGGAAACGAUUGAAGUCAGUCGUGUCUGGGAGGCUCAGCCGGUUCUGCCGGUGUAUUCCUCUCAGACGGGUCAACAUCAGUUUUGUCCGACGGAUAAUGGCGGCGGGAAAGUAGCACCUCCGGGUGUGUUAUAGCCCGCUGUCGCAUACGCCGGAUGAGACUGAGG